Hyla sarda is the source of this 1747-nucleotide long non-coding RNA. RefSeq lists it as uncharacterized. The record is from RefSeq and is a predicted model, not a curated record. The transcript has 4 exons. NCBI's taxonomy places the organism in Eukaryota, Metazoa, Chordata, Amphibia, Anura, Hylidae.
UGAGCAUGCAUAGCAUGCAGGCUCAAUACAUCAUAAUGAAAGUGUGUAGCAUGCAUGUUCAAUAUAUUACAUUGAGCAUCCAUAGGAUGCAUACUCAAUACAUAAUAAUGAACGUUAAUAUAUGAGUGUGCAUAGCAUGCAUGCUCAAUACAUGAUAUUGAACAUGUAUAUCCUACACACUCAAUACAUUAUAAUGAGCGUGCAUAGCAUGCAGGCUCAAUACAUCAUAAUGAGAGUGCAUAGCAUGCACACUCAAUACAUAAUAAUUAGCGUGCUUAUCUGAUCAAUACCUGAUGUUGAGCGUGCAUAGCCUGCACAGUCAGUACAUGAUAAUGAGCCUGCAUAGCUGAGUGUGCAUAACAUGCACACUCAAUACAUGAUAAUGAGUUUGCUUAGCUGAGCGUGCAUAGCAUGCAGGCUCAAAAUAUGAUAUUGAGCAGCCCUAGCUUGCUGUCGCUAUAAAUACAAUGUGCAGAGUAUUAUUAAACCUUGUAUAAUUGAUUAUUGUACUGAAAAAGGAUGAUAGCCACUAACAUGUUAUCUCAACAAGACCAAAACCAAGUAAUGGAGAAUUUUGCUUUAGGCUAUUACAUACUCUAUUAAUCUAUUUACUAAAGGCAACUGGAUAUUCAUAUGCUGCAGAGGAGGAAAGGAAUGAAGAAUAUAAUCCUGAAGAAUCUUCUGAUGAGGAAGAUUAUAGUAUUCAACAGGAGACGUAAAGUGACAGUGAGGAGGAAACAGCUGCAACAAUACAUGAAAUAACGCCGAAACGAAAAGCUCUUCUGGAAAGACUAAGAAAAAAGGCAAAACUACAUGGCGAGCUACAUGAGCACUCUUUCCAAAACGAUCCAGAGUGGCCAAGCAUCAAUGACAUCCCAGGGUUAUUCGCAAGUCCGCUUAUAGAUCCUACUCUUGUUUUGCGCAUGGAAUCCUUGGGCCUAAACGACGAAAGCCAAUACCAUCAUGUGUUGUCAAUUUUAUUAGGUCUGAAUUUCCAGAUCCUGAUGGGCAAUAUAUUGGAUUCCACUGGCCUGAUGAAUACCCAGCAAGUGACAUGGCUGCUGAUGUUUGAUUCACUAUGACACUUACUUUCUGCACUUUUCAUGUUACUACAGUUUUACAUUGCACUUUUAUUGUUUACAAUUUUUUUAUGUUUAUUUAUCUUGUUAUUUAUAUUAUAUUAAUUAGUUAUUUACAUUUUUAUGGUGGUUAUUUUAUUUUGUCUAUUUUAAUCUGUCUACACCAGUCAUUUCCUAAACGUGGUCCCUCGGCACACUGCUAUUCCAUUUGACACUUCCCAUUGUUGGAGUUUAUUUUUCCGUUGAUUUUUUUAUUUCCAGCCCUGGCAUGCUCGCUGAUGACUGACGGCGCAGGGUGGAAGGGAAGCCUGCGUGCGAACUGCGCACAGUGUCCCACUCCCCCUUGCGGCCCAGUGAGGCAAAAAUGGAGCCAUGGUGAAGAAGCUGUAAUACCUACGGUGCCACCGUCACUGCGGUGUCACCCAGGUCACCCUCUACCCACCCCAACUGUCAACCCUCCCCCCCCGUCCACACCCGUGUCACCAUGUUCAUCCUCCUGUCCUCACUGUCACACAUGUUCCCCCUCCCCGUCAAUCAUGUCUACCCCCUAUUCACAUCUGUCACCCAUGUACACUCCUCUACACCCCUGUUACCCAAUUACACCCCUCUGUUACCCAUGUACACUCCUCUACACCCCUCUAUAAACCAUGUACACUCCUCUACACCCC